RNAcentral lists this non-coding RNA (84 nucleotides) under Bacillus sp. (in: firmicutes). Its description in RNAcentral is "Bacillus sp. c-di-GMP sequence". It matches the Rfam family "c-di-GMP-I riboswitch aptamer". From Rfam's summary of the family: GEMM was predicted in a large-scale screen for bacterial structured RNA regulatory elements. Genes associated with GEMM are involved in a diverse array of functions, including chemotaxis regulation, signal transduction, secretion and chitin. RNAcentral also lists the same sequence under 1 other name. The record is from RNAcentral. Lineage: Bacteria; Bacillati; Bacillota; Bacilli; Caryophanales; Bacillaceae.
AAUAUGCAAUGGCAAAAUCACUGAAAAGUGGUGACGCAAAGCUAUAGGGGCCUCCGUGAACCACAAGGCCAGCCAGCUGCCAUC